Cercocebus atys (sooty mangabey) is the source of this 2259-nucleotide long non-coding RNA. RefSeq lists it as uncharacterized. The record is from RefSeq and is a predicted model, not a curated record. The transcript is spliced from 3 exons. Lineage: Eukaryota; Metazoa; Chordata; Mammalia; Primates; Cercopithecidae.
GCCCAGGCUGGUCUCGAACUCUUGGCUUCAAAAUACCCUCACCUGGGCCUCCCAAAGUGCUGGGAUUACAGCACUUGGCUCCAGCUUGACCUUUGUUGGUAGAACUACUCAGAAAAUAUGGCUAAUUUAGAAAUUGGGUGGUGUCAAGUGAACCCUACCCAAAUCUUCUAUCCCCACAUCAGUUCUCAUCCACCUUUUUCGCGUGUUGGAGAACUGGCAAGGCAGGGGCUGCGGCUCGCCCUCCCUCACGCGGCUCAGGCUCUGAGGGCGCGAGGCCCAGGGCUCUCGCGCUGCGGCCGCCACCCGCCCCGAGGCCCCGGUCCCCUCCUCUCGCCGCCGCACCAGGGUAGCGCUGCCACGAGCCGGGCUUUCCGGGGGCCAGGACGAACGAGGACCGAGAUGCUCCACGGCAGGGACUGCAGGCAACAGACCACGGGUAAGUGGCGGUUACGGGACUCUCCGGCCCGGGAACGGACGUUUUAGCUCUCAGGGAUUCGAUACCACAGGUUGUUUCCAGACCAUAUGCCGGUCGCUUCCGGCAAUUGGAAAGACCAAUCGUCAGGCCCGACAAUGCAAGACCUGCCCACUUUGCGACGGAGGCAGCCACUCCAGUUCCUCCUUACUUCUAUUGUCGGGGGCGCCCUUACGAAAGGUCCUGUCCAAUCGUUACCGGGAACGCCCUCCUAGUCCCGCCUCAGGGCCAUCGCAGAGCCUGUAAAUUCAGCUUGACCCCUUCACCCCAUUGGCGUAUUUCCUUCCGACGCCAUGACGUGCACAGCGGCCGGCCGGGGCGGGCCAAUGAGCGGGAACGUGGUGUGCGGCUGGCGUCCGCCGCAGUCGCUCCUGGGUCCUAGGGGCCGGAGCCGCCCUGAACGCAGCGUAUCGAGGGCUCUUGCCGAAGAGGCGCCGCCGCGGAGCCCGCAGUCAGACGCCCCCUCAGUGGCGCCCGCCUAAGCCGUGGGCGCACCCGAGGGGCAGGCUCGCCUUCCGUCGGCCCUCGCAGCUCGGCUGGGCUCGGAGUCUGCGCCGCCGUCGCCUUCCCGCUCGGGCCGAGAACCGCAGUCGCGGAGCCGCGCAGCCCUCGAAGCCCGCCUGCACUAGGCGAAGCUGAAGCCACAGAAGACACCGCAGUGGAAAAACCAGCAUGAGCCGCUGCCCCAAGGAACCUCAAAGCGCAGGCAGAGGACCAGCCAUCCCAGCCGCACAGGGUCUCCUGAGAACACAGACCAGAAUUACUGAGGUAAUCUUGGCACAUUUUCUUAACCAUUUUAUGUGACUUUCAAAUUCCUUAUAUGUAGCUGGGAAAAAAGGCUUUGCUAGAUGAUCUUUUUCAGCCUUUGUGAAGAUAAAGAUUAAGAAAAAAGUUUAAACCCGAGGCACUGAUAAGGAAAAUAAAGAAAACCUAAACAAAGUUUCAGUUCUCAGCCCCUGAGCAGCCACUUGGUGGGCGUUUCCUUCAGUCCCCAGUGAGCACCUACUGUGUGCUCUGUAUGGCGCAGCGCAGGGAGGAGCAGGCCAAGAAACAAGCCUUGGGUCAGGGCCACAGAGGGCAGUGAGCUCUCAGGACAGGGCGGGAAGGGAAGGCAGAAAGGCCCUGGGCACGGGCUGGGCUGUCAGCUCCCGAGGGGCGCACUGAGCCUGCAUCCAUGGGAAGUGUGAGGCACAGGCAGCCUGGACUGCAGCCUCAGAGCGGAGCAGAACCUGGGGUGGAAGAGGCCAGCUGGGGCGAGUGGGCACCAGGAGAGCUCAGGCUGGCCAUUAUUUGUGGCUGCCAUUUCCAUUUCCAAAAAAGUAUGAUUAUUUCAGUUAACGGAGAAAAAGCACUGACAAAAUUCAACACCCUUUCAUGAUUAAAAACACUCAACAAAGAAUAGAGAAAACUACCUCAACAUAAUAAAAGUAUAUAUGAAAAACCCACAUCACACUCAAUGGUGAAAAACUGAAAGCUUUUCCUCUAAAAUCAGGAACAAGACAAGGAUGCCUGCACUCAUUACUUCUAUUCAACACAAUGCUGGAAGUUCUAGUCGGCACACUUAGUCAAGAAAAAGAAAUAAAAGGCAUCAAAAUUGAAAAGAAAGAAGUAAAAUUAUCUCUAUUUGCAGAUAGGAUUUUAUAAGUAGAAAUGCCUGAAGAGUGCGUGCACGCACACACACACACUGACACUCACACUCAGGAACUAAUAAACGAGGCCAGGCACUGUGGCUCAUGCCUAUAAUCCUAGCACUUUGGGAGGCAGAGGUGGGCGGAUCACUUGAGGUC